Molecule: unclassified non-coding RNA, 344 nt
Filed under: soil metagenome
Description: partial contains 5.8S ribosomal RNA, internal transcribed spacer 2, and large subunit ribosomal RNA
Rfam family: 5.8S ribosomal RNA (bases 1-120)
Source: RNAcentral
GAUGAAGAACGCAGCGAAAUGCGAUACGUAAUGUGAAUUGCAGAAUUCAGUGAAUCAUCGAGUCUUUGAACGCACAUUGCGCCCUCUGGUAUUCCGGAGGGCAUGCCUGUCCGAGCGUCAUUGCUGCCCUCAAGCACGGCUUGUGUGUUGGGCCCCGCCCCCCGAUCCCGGGGGGCGGGCCCGAAAGGCAGCGGCGGCACCGCGUCCGGUCCUCGAGCGUAUGGGGCUUUGUCACCCGCUCUGUAGGCCCGGCCGGCGCUUGCCGAUCAACCAAACUUUUUUCCAGGUUGACCUCGGAUCAGGUAGGGAUACCCGCUGAACUUAAGCAUAUCAAUAAGCGGAGA